This 246-nucleotide ribosomal RNA is filed under the name uncultured Lactobacillus sp. RNAcentral's name for it is "partial 16S ribosomal RNA". It matches the Rfam family "Bacterial small subunit ribosomal RNA", at positions 116 to 354 of the family's 1533-position model. The record is from RNAcentral. Lineage: Bacteria; Bacillati; Bacillota; Bacilli; Lactobacillales; Lactobacillaceae.
CGUGGGUAACCUGCCCAAGAGAUCGGGAUAACACCUGGAAACAGAUGCUAAUACCGGAUAACAAUAGAUGAUGCCUGUCAACUGUUUAAAAGAUGGUUCUGCUAUCACUCUUGGAUGGACCUGCGGUGCAUUAGCUAGUUGGUAGGGUAACGGCCUACCAAGGCGAUGAUGCAUGGCCGAGUUGAGAGACUGAUCGGCCACAUUGGGACCGAGACACGGCCCAAACUCCUACGGGAGGCAGCAGGC